RNAcentral lists this transfer RNA (66 nucleotides) under Petrobiellus sp. 1 JZ-2014. RNAcentral's name for it is "tRNA-Phe". Lineage: Eukaryota; Metazoa; Arthropoda; Insecta; Archaeognatha; Machilidae. The record is from RNAcentral.
AUUUAUGUAGCUUAUGUAAAAGCGUGGCAUUGAAGAUGCUGAGAUAAUAGUUAUUGUUUUUAAAUA